This 393-nucleotide transfer-messenger RNA is filed under the name Candidatus Daviesbacteria bacterium. It matches the Rfam family "transfer-messenger RNA". From Rfam's summary of the family: Bacterial tmRNA, also known as 10Sa RNA or SsrA, is named for its dual tRNA and mRNA-like properties. Its role is to liberate the mRNA from a stalled ribosome. The record is from RNAcentral. Lineage: Bacteria; Candidatus Daviesiibacteriota.
GGGGAUGUAUUGUCUCGACAGGAUUGCUCUUUGAAAACUGCAAGCCGCUAAAGAAAUCUUAAGCGUUAAAUAUGGUUUCAAAACACAAACGGCAAAAAUUUUGUCGGUUCCGUCCUUGCUUCAUUGCAAGGAGCAUUUGCUACUCCUAGAGUAGCUUACGCUUAAGCGGUAUCUUGGAAUUAAUCUCUUUCUGGUGGAUUACCAAGGUAUGUACCCAGCCAGAAUGCUGUUAAUAUAAUUCUGAUCGAUCAAUAUUAACAAAAGAAAGUUUGGUCAUUCAUUAGUUUUCCUUCCAGCUGGUUACAACUAAUGAACAAAAAUUAACUGGAUAAGCUUGUAGAAGUUUUUUAAGUUACAAUUUUGGACUCGGCUUCACCGCCGACAUCUCCACCU